Sus scrofa (pig) is the source of this 490-nucleotide non-coding RNA. NCBI's taxonomy places the organism in Eukaryota, Metazoa, Chordata, Mammalia, Artiodactyla, Suidae. The record is from RefSeq and is a predicted model, not a curated record.
UACUUGUGGCCAGUUUCCUUGCCCUGCCUUUGGAUCUCAUGCUGUGCCCAGUCCUGCAGCCGCUGAACUAGAAGGACCGGACUCCUCGGGCGAACGAUCCAGGAGAAAGUGAGAAUCAUCCUGAACAUCGGGAAUCUGCUGCCGCUGCUACUGCUGCUGAAGCUAUUUCGGCUUCUGCUUUCAGAGUUGAAAGCUGAAUAAAUAACUGUUUCUUUCUUGAUUUUAGGAUUUACCAAUGAAGUGGGCAUGCAGAAAUGGGGACCUCUUAAAAGGAACUAGCUGUGUUCAAGGACACAUGGGCAGCGCCAAGGAUCAAGCCCUUCCCAGCUAUGGGAACCUAAAGGUUCUUGACCCCCCAGGAGAGGAGGUGGAGUCCACUGAGGACCGAAGAACAUCCAGGACAAGAGGAGGCUCUGCCUGGGACUUUUCACUUCAUCUUACUCCGGGGAGUUUAAAAAAUAAAUAAAAUGUGUUACCGACUUUCCUAAGA